This 467-nucleotide ribosomal RNA is filed under the name uncultured bacterium. Its description in RNAcentral is "partial 16S ribosomal RNA". It matches the Rfam family "Bacterial small subunit ribosomal RNA", at positions 28 to 507 of the family's 1533-position model. The record is from RNAcentral.
GACGAACGCUGGCGGCGUGCUUAACACAUGCAAGUCGAACGGAAAGGCCCUGCUUUUGUGGGGUGCUCGAGUGGCGAACGGGUGAGUAACACGUGAGUAACCUGCCCUUGACUUUGGGAUAACUUCAGGAAACUGGGGCUAAUACCGGAUAGGAGCUCCUGCUGCAUGUGGGGGUUGGAAAGUUUCGGCGGUUGGGGAUGGACUCGCGGCUUAUCAGCUUGUUGGUGGGGUAGUGGCUUACCAAGGCUUUGACGGGUAGCCGGCCUGAGAGGGUGACCGGCCACAUUGGGACUGAGAUACGGCCCAGACUCCUACGGGAGGCAGCAGUGGGGAAUAUUGCACAAUGGGCGGAAGCCUGAUGCAGCAACGCCGCGUGCGGGAUGACGGCCUUCGGGUUGUAAACCGCUUUCGCCUGUGUCGAAGCGUGAGUGACGGUAAUGGGUAAAGAAGCACCGGCUAACUACGUG